GGGUGAUGGCGUGCCUUUUGUAGAAUGAACCGGCGAGUUACGAUUUGAUGCAAGGUUAAGCAGUAAAUGUGGAGCCGUAGCGAAAGCGAGUCUGAAUAGGGCGUUUAGUAUUUGGUCGUAGACCCGAAACCAGGUGAUCUACCCUUGGUCAGGUUGAAGUUCAGGUAACACUGAAUGGAGGACCGAACCGACUUACGUUGAAAAGUGAGCGGAUGAACUGAGGGUAGCGGAGAAAUUCCAAUCGAACCUGGAGAUAGCUGGUUCUCUCCGAAAUAGCUUUAGGGCUAGCCUCAAGUGAUGAUUAUUGGAGGUAGAGCACUGUUUGGACGAGGGGCCCCUCUCGGGUUACCGAAUUCAGACAAACUCCGAAUGCCAAUUAAUUUAACUUGGGAGUCAGAACAUGGGUGAUAAGGUCCGUGUUCGAAAGGGAAACAGCCCAGACCACCAGCUAAGGUCCCAAAAUAUAUGUUAAGUGGAAAAGGAUGUGGCGUUGCCCAGACAACUAGGAUGUUGGCUUAGAAGCAGCCAUCAUUUAAAGAGUGCGUAAUAGCUCACUAGUCGAGUGACACUGCGCCGAAAAUGUACCGGGGCUAAACAUAUUACCGAAGCUGUGGAUUGUCCUUUGGACAAUGGUAGGAGAGCGUUCUAAGGGCGUUGAAGC
Molecule: ribosomal RNA, 661 nt
Filed under: Staphylococcus aureus
Lineage: Bacteria; Bacillati; Bacillota; Bacilli; Caryophanales; Staphylococcaceae
Description: partial 23S ribosomal RNA
Rfam family: Bacterial large subunit ribosomal RNA
Source: RNAcentral